CCAUUCCUGGAUCCGUGAUAGUGAAACAUCAUUCGUAGCAUAUCUGCAUCCAGUUACAGAACACCUGCGGAGUUGAUUGGAAUAAAUAAAAUUGUCUCCCAAAUGAUUCCGAUGCCAAUCACCAUAGCGAUUGCUUCCAAUUUUGGUUGUGAAUUGCUCAUGAAACGAUCCUUUCAGGGAGAUGCUCCAUGAGUACGAGAGGCGAUUGGUUUCGGAUUUGGCCAACCCUCUUUCGGAAUAGUGCAUCUGUUGCUGUGCUUCAUGGCGCAAGGGACGACCUCCCCGAAUGUGGAAUGGUCGAUCAUGAGAAUAUAAGCGUUUAGCCUACCCCCGACUAAAGGAGCAGAUUGUUGAUAUCAACGGAACGACUUAAUCAAUUCAACGCAAGAAUUAAGGAAUUCAAACGGACUCUACUAGAAACAGAGGAGCUUAAUGUGUCCAUCCUGCAGGUUCUACACUCUCAGAGACAGACCCUUCUUCAUGCCCAGAACACGGUGCGCAAAUCUCAUCAUGCCCUCUAAAAUCUGCUUAUGUUCAACGUUGAAUGUCCUGUGUAGUUGUGGUGAACAGUGGCUGUGACCUUGUGUGUUAGACCUGGUAGCAAAAUCACCGAAAGAAUGACCAGGCACGAUUCACCUUAUUCAAUUAUGCGCAUAGAAUUUGCAGAUGAUAUGUACAAAAUAGAUUCAGGAAUGAAUUAACAUGGAUGUGUGCGCUGGUCAUACAAUUGCACUGCGUGGAUGACAACAUUGAAAAAGGUCGGCUGAACCUGAAUUCAAUGACUCGACUUGUGUCACGAAAUAAAUGGAUAAUCUGAUUCGCACCAAAUUACUAAGAUUAAUCUUCUUUGAAAGGAGAGUUGGCAUGAUAGAAGUCUUUGACCAUGACUUGUGAAACUCUUGUAAAUAAAUACUGUAUGAGCUUUAUCUUGUUGCUGGAGUUUGAAGUGUUCGGACUCCAGGCAGGAUAUAGUAGCACUACCAGUGAGAUUUUGCAGUGUCGUCACCAUGGCUGAACAGACGUCGGUAGUAUCUUGGUUCGGGACCUGGGUUGAGCACACGAGUAUGCCCUCGAUUAUCAUUCCAACGCAUGAUUCCUGCCAGACACCAAGCCAGUGGCUGGAUUCCAAUGGGUUGUAGAUUGACAAGCAAUUGAAGUUGCCGGAUCUGGGUUCGGUCUGCAAAAAUUGUCGAAGACAUAUUAUGGGGAAUGCAACUCUCAAGGAAGAAUUUGCACCAUCGAGGCACAGAGAUGGCUUGAUCUUACGAUCCGGUUAACAAGAUUUAUCAAUUGGUUCAACACAAUCUACUAAGAGAUCUGACAUUCAUGAGCCCGCGAAUUAUUUGAGAUAAAGUAAUUGCAGCGAUUUGAAGGCAACAACUCACGUAGAUCUUCACCAUGGGUUGCAGAAUUCAUGUGUAUCAUUUAUUUUUUUAUAUUUUUAUUUGUUUGUUUUUGGUUCAAAAAUUUAGCAACAAUUUUUUUGUGUUAUUAUAAGA
Long non-coding RNA from Physcomitrium patens, 1499 nucleotides. RefSeq lists it as uncharacterized. The record is from RefSeq and is a predicted model, not a curated record. Lineage: Eukaryota; Viridiplantae; Streptophyta; Bryopsida; Funariales; Funariaceae.